Molecule: ribosomal RNA, 253 nt
Filed under: uncultured bacterium
Lineage: Bacteria
Description: partial 16S ribosomal RNA
Rfam family: Bacterial small subunit ribosomal RNA
Source: RNAcentral
UACGAAGGGGGCUAGCGUUGCUCGGAAUCACUGGGCGUAAAGGGUGCGUAGGCGGGUCUUAAGUCAGGGGUGAAAUCCUGGAGCUCAACUCCAGAACUGCCUUCGAUACUGCGGGUCUCGAGUCCGGGAGAGGUGAGUGGAAUUCCUAGUGUAGAGGUGAAAUUCGUAGAUAUUAGGAAGAACACCAGUGGCGAAGGCGGCUCACUGGCCCGGUACUGACGCUGAGGCGCGAAAGCGUGGGGAGCAAACAGGG